UACGUAGGGUGCAAGCGUUAAUCGGAAUUACUGGGCGUAAAGCGUGCGCAGGCGGCUUUGCAAGUCAGCUGUGAAAUCCCCGGGCUCAACCUGGGAACUGCAUUUGUGACUGCAAGGCUGGAGUACGGCAGAGGGGGAUGGAAUUCCGCGUGUAGCAGUGAAAUGCGUAGAUAUGCGGAGGAACACCGAUGGCGAAGGCAAUCCCCUGGGCCUGUACUGACGCUCAUGCACGAAAGCGUGGGAGCAAACAGG
RNAcentral lists this ribosomal RNA (252 nucleotides) under uncultured bacterium. Its description in RNAcentral is "partial 16S ribosomal RNA". It matches the Rfam family "Bacterial small subunit ribosomal RNA", at positions 524 to 776 of the family's 1533-position model. The record is from RNAcentral.